This 500-nucleotide ribosomal RNA is filed under the name uncultured bacterium. Its description in RNAcentral is "partial 16S ribosomal RNA". It matches the Rfam family "Bacterial small subunit ribosomal RNA", at positions 30 to 523 of the family's 1533-position model. The record is from RNAcentral.
AUUGAACGUUGGCGGAAUGCUUUACACAUGCAAGUCGAACGGCAGCACGGACUUCGGUCUGGUGGCGAGUGGCGAACGGGUGAGUAAUGUAUCGGAACGUGCCCAGUCGUGGGGGAUAACGUAGUGAAAAUUACGCUAAUACCGCAUACGAUCUAUGGCUGAAAGCGGGGGAUCGCACGACCUCGCGCGAUUGGAGCGGCCGAUAUCAGAUUAGGUAGUUGGUGGGGUAAAGGCCCACCAAGCCAACGAUCUGUAGCUGGUCUGAGAGGACGACCAGCCACACUGGAACUGAGACACGGUCCAGACUCCUACGGGAGGCAGCAGUGGGGAAUUUUGGACAAUGGGCGAAAGCCUGAUCCAGCCAUUCCGCGUGCAGGAUGAAGGCCCUCGGGUUGUAAACUGCUUUUGUACAGAACGAAAAGGUUUCUACUAAUACUAGGAGCUCAUGACGGUACUGUAAGAAUAAGCACCGGCUAACUACGUGCCAGCCGCCGCCGUAA